RNAcentral lists this ribosomal RNA (325 nucleotides) under uncultured eukaryote. RNAcentral describes it as "partial 18S ribosomal RNA". It matches the Rfam family "Eukaryotic small subunit ribosomal RNA", at positions 1470 to 1796 of the family's 1831-position model. The record is from RNAcentral.
CCCUUAGAUGUUCUGGGCUGCACGCGCGCUACACUGAUGCGCUCAACGAGUUUUAACCUUGCCUGGAAAGGUUGGGUAAUCUUUUUAAAACGCAUCGUGAUGGGGAUAGAUUAUUGCAAUUAUUAAUCUUCAACGAGGAAUUCCUAGUAAGCGCGAGUCAUCAGCUCGUGCUGAUUACGUCCCUGCCCUUUGUACACACCGCCCGUCGCUCCUACUGAUUGAGUGAUCCGGUGAAUAAUUCGGACUGCGGCAUUGACCGGUUCCCGAUCGUUGCUGCGGAAAGUUUAGUGAACCUUAUCACUUAGAGGAAGGAGAAGUCGUAACA